AUGAUUCGAUCAACUGGGUUAACGAUUCGUAUACAAAACUGAAGAUGUAAAUUGGAAGGAGAAGUGUAUUUUCGGUGUGUUUUAUACUUUCCUUGCUUUUGAAAUGUCGUCGUCACUUGACACGUCCUCCUUCUACACUCAAUCGCCAGUUGUUUAUAGCCCUUUUCUCAAACUUGAACCCUAAUUCAAACAAGAAUCAAGUCAUACUAUCAAGAAGAUGAUGAAAUGGAAGAUAUAUAUGAUGAUAAUAUGGAUUAUGAGAUUUGGGUCAGAGGUAUUGGUUCAGACACGCUGAUUGUGAAGAGUAUGAUUUCAUGGUUUGUUGCAAUGCACUUACAACUUA
RNAcentral lists this long non-coding RNA (343 nucleotides) under Helianthus annuus (common sunflower). Its description in RNAcentral is "sRNA HanXRQr2_Chr02g0070781". Lineage: Eukaryota; Viridiplantae; Streptophyta; Magnoliopsida; Asterales; Asteraceae. The record is from RNAcentral.